This 180-nucleotide ribosomal RNA is filed under the name uncultured bacterium. RNAcentral describes it as "partial 16S ribosomal RNA". It matches the Rfam family "Bacterial small subunit ribosomal RNA", at positions 1320 to 1500 of the family's 1533-position model. The record is from RNAcentral.
GUGAAGCCGGAAUUGCUAGUAAUGGCAGGUCAGCAUACUGCCGUGAAUACGUUCCCGGGCCUUGUACACACCGCCCGUCACACCAUGAGAGUUGGGGAUACCCGAAGCCUGUGAGCUAACUUAUAGAGGCAGCAGUCGAAGGUAGAAUCAAUGAUUGGGGUGAAGUCGUAACAAGGUAUC